RNAcentral lists this ribosomal RNA (777 nucleotides) under uncultured Neocallimastigales. RNAcentral describes it as "partial large subunit ribosomal RNA". It matches the Rfam family "Eukaryotic large subunit ribosomal RNA", at positions 22 to 645 of the family's 3401-position model. The record is from RNAcentral. Lineage: Eukaryota; Fungi; Neocallimastigomycota; Neocallimastigomycetes; Neocallimastigales.
GUACACGCUGUGACUAGCAUAUCAAUAAGCGGAGGAAAAGAAACUAACAAGGAUUCCCCUAGUAACGGCGAGUGAAGCGGGAAGAGCUCAAAUUUGAAAUCUUAAAGGGUUUCCCUUUACGAAUUGUAGUUUAAAGAAGUGUUUUCUGUUGAGGUUUUGGUAAAAGUUCUUUGGAAUAGGACAUCAUAGAGGGUGAGAAUCCCGUAUUUGACCCUUUACUUUCAACUUUGUGAUACACUUUCAAAGAGUCGGAUUGUUUGGGAAUGCAGUCCAAAAUGGGUGGUAAAUUUCAUCUAAAGCUAAAUAUUGGCGAGAGACCGAUAGCGAACAAGUACCGUGAGGGAAAGAUGAAAAGAACUUUGAAAAGAGAGUUAAACAGUACGUGAAAUUGUCAAAAGGGAAGCGUUUGACACCAGUGUUGUUUUUCUGAAAAUCAAUUAAAGAACUGUUUAUGCUAAGUCUGUUUAGACUUUAUCAGCUAUCUGUUUAGUUUUGAGCUUUUCUUUAAUGCACUUUUCAGUUAACAAGUCAACAUCAAUUUCUUUUGCUGUAAAAAAGCUUGAGGAAGGUGGCUUGAGAUUCGUCUUAAGUGUUUAUAGCCUCUUGCCUAUGCAGUCGGAGAGAUUGAGGUCUGCAGCGUAGAUCCUUCGGGGCUAAAUGCAUUUGUGCUAAGUUAUAGCAUUUUCAUAGACAACUUGUUGACUAUGAUUUGUCUUGUAGCUUACUCGCUUAUGUUAUUUUACCUACGCUUAGGAUGUUGAAGUCAUCGUAUCGCGC